UACGUAGGGUGCGAGCGUUAAUCGGAAUUACUGGGCGUAAAGCGUGCGCAGGCGGUUCGUUAAGUUCGUUGUGAAAGCCCCGGGCUCAACCUGGGAACUGCAAUGGAAACUGGCGGGCUUGAGUGUGGCAGAGGGGGGUGGAAUUCCGCGUGUAGCAGUGAAAUGCGUAGAGAUGCGGAGGAACACCUAUGGCGAAGGCAGCACUCUGGGACGGUACUGGCGCUGAGACGCGAAAGCGUGGGGAGCGAACAGG
Molecule: ribosomal RNA, 253 nt
Filed under: uncultured bacterium
Lineage: Bacteria
Description: partial 16S ribosomal RNA
Rfam family: Bacterial small subunit ribosomal RNA
Source: RNAcentral